CCUACGGGUGGCAGCAGUGAGGAAUAUUGGGCAAUGCCCGAAAGGGUGACCCAGCAACGCCGCGUGGAGGAUGAAGUCCUUCUGGACGUAAACUCCUUUUAGAGGGGACGAAAAGCCCGAUUUGUCGGGAAUUGACGGUACCCUCAGAAAAAGCACCGGCUAACUACGUGCCAGCAGCCGCGGUAAUACGUAGGGUGCAAGCGUUGUCCGGAUUCACUGGGUGUAAAGGGUGCGCAGGCGGGCUCUUAAGUCAAAGGUGAAAUCUCUCGGCUUAACCGAGAAAUUGCCUUUGAUACUGAGAGCCUGGAGUACGGGAGAGGGAGAUGGAAUUCCAGGUGUAGCGGUGAAAUGCGUAGAUAUCUGGAGGAACACCGAAGGCGAAGGCGGCUCUCUAUGCUACUCCUGACGCUGAGGCACGAAAGCUAGGGGAGCAAACGGGAUUAGAUACCCCGGUAGU
Molecule: ribosomal RNA, 457 nt
Filed under: uncultured Ignavibacteria bacterium
Lineage: Bacteria; Pseudomonadati; Ignavibacteriota; Ignavibacteria
Description: partial 16S ribosomal RNA
Rfam family: Bacterial small subunit ribosomal RNA
Source: RNAcentral